GUGAAGUCCCAGUAAUUCAGCUCAAGGGCCAGGAAGUUAUCCACACACUUUUGCUGGCUCUGAGCAGGACAGAUGGAGUUGGGGUUCCUUCAGUGGCUUCCACAGCCUUCCCAGCAGGAGACCCACACACUGCCUCCCAGGCACCUGCUCCUGCCACCAGAUGACCACUGCGGGGCUGAGGACACAGACAGCACUCACUUCUGUGGACGCUGUCCCCUGUGUCACAGGCGUCUCUCCUCCUCCCCCAUCUGUCUGGGUUUCCUUGGCUCACUCAGCGCUUACCCAGAUUGCACCACCAGCCCCACGGCCCAGGAGUCCCACACAGUCUGCUGCAGAAGGUGGGAAAGGUACAGAUGCCUUCUUUUAAACAAAGAUGGUUCAAAUAGCUGCCUUUUAUGCUAUGGCCGCCCAUUGUUUUUAAAGUGCAACCUUGACAAAGAUUCUUCUUCAUGAUGCUUAGUCGGGUUUCUGCACCUUCUUCUGGGCCCUUGGUGUAUUCCCUUAAAAACGCAAUUUUAGCAAAAAUCCCUGCCGAGUCAGUGUAGCAAGAAUCUCCCCCAUCCAUUUAUCAUGCUCCGUAUCCAACCAGGCUCCUCGGUCUCAUCAUCCAAGGUGACAUCCACUCCAUCUGGCUUCUCUUUAGCAAGAAUGCUGUUAGUUCAGUUCAGCCAGGGGCCACAGACCCCUUGCUAUGUUGUGAGCGUGGUUAGUCCAGG
Molecule: long non-coding RNA, 716 nt
Filed under: Cavia porcellus (domestic guinea pig)
Lineage: Eukaryota; Metazoa; Chordata; Mammalia; Rodentia; Caviidae
Description: lncRNA (ENSCPOG00000031908.1)
Source: RNAcentral